This 474-nucleotide ribosomal RNA is filed under the name uncultured bacterium. RNAcentral's name for it is "partial 16S ribosomal RNA". It matches the Rfam family "Bacterial small subunit ribosomal RNA", at positions 28 to 507 of the family's 1533-position model. The record is from RNAcentral.
GAUGAACGCUAGCGGCAGGCCUAACACAUGCAAGUCGAGGGAGGAGCCUUCGGGCUUCGACCGGCGUACGGGUGCGUAACGCGUAUACAAUCUGCCUUUCACAUAGGGAUAGCCCGAAGAAAUUUGGAUUAAUACCUAAUGGUAUAUAGAUGUGGCAUCACCUUUAUAUUAAAGCUGAGGCGGUGAAAGAUGAGUAUGCGUUCUAUUAGCUAGUUGGAGCGGUAACGGCUCCCCAAGGCGACGAUAGAUAGGGGUUCUGAGAGGGAUAUCCCCCACACUGGUACUGAGAUACGGACCAGACUCCUACGGGCGGCAGCAGUGAGGAAUAUUGGACAAUGGUCGGAAGACUGAUCCAGCCAUGCCGCGUGCAGGAAGACGGCCUUAUGGGUUGUAAACUGCUUUUGCAGGGGAAGAAUAAGGACUACGCGUAGUUUGAUGACGGUACUCAGCGAAUAAGCAUCGGCUAACUCCGUG